AGCGAACGCUGGCGGCAGGCUUAACACAUGCAAGUCGAGCGGGCACUUUCGGGUGUCAGCGGCGGACGGGUGAGUAACGCGUGGGAACGUGCCCUCUGGUUCGGAAUAACUCAGGGAAACUUGAGCUAAUACCGGAUACGCCCUUUUGGGGAAAGGCUUGCUGCCGGAGGAUCGGCCCGCGUCUGAUUAGCUAGUUGGUGAGGUAACGGCUCACCAAGGCGACGAUCAGUAGCUGGUCUGAGAGGAUGAUCAGCCACACUGGGACUGAGACACGGCCCAGACUCCUACGGGAGGAAGCAGUGGGGAAUAUUGGAAAAUGGGCGCAAGCCUGAUCCAGCCAUGCCGCGUGAGUGAUGAAGGCCUUAGGGUUGUAAAGCUCUUUUAUCCGGGACGAUAAUGACGGUACCGGAGGAAUAAGCCCCGGCUAACUUCGUG
Molecule: ribosomal RNA, 435 nt
Filed under: uncultured bacterium
Lineage: Bacteria
Description: partial 16S ribosomal RNA
Rfam family: Bacterial small subunit ribosomal RNA
Source: RNAcentral